This 214-nucleotide ribosomal RNA is filed under the name uncultured bacterium. RNAcentral describes it as "partial 16S ribosomal RNA". It matches the Rfam family "Bacterial small subunit ribosomal RNA", at positions 120 to 334 of the family's 1533-position model. The record is from RNAcentral.
AGCAACCUGCCUUUCAGUGGGGGACAACAGUUGGAAACGACUGCUAAUACCGCAUAAUGCAUUUUGACCGCAUGGUCGAGAUGCCAAAGAUUUAUUGCUGAAAGAUGGGCUCGCGUCUGAUUAGAUAGUUGGUGAGGUAACGGCCCACCAAGUCGACGAUCAGUAGCCGGACUGAGAGGUUGAACGGCCACAUUGGGACUGAGAUACGGCCCAG